ACAAAUGAUAUCCCUCAAAAAAGGUGUCAGCUGGAUAAAAAUCAGUCAAAUUAUUUGGCCAUCUGUAAUACGUAUUAAGGCUAAAUUCAUAUUACUGACUUAAGUGACCACAUUCUGAUUUACAAAUGAGAUGGAUUUUCUGGAG
Long non-coding RNA from Thalassophryne amazonica, 145 nucleotides. RefSeq lists it as uncharacterized. The record is from RefSeq and is a predicted model, not a curated record. The transcript has 3 exons. NCBI's taxonomy places the organism in Eukaryota, Metazoa, Chordata, Actinopteri, Batrachoidiformes, Batrachoididae.